AUACGAACCGUCCAAACGUUAUUCGGAAUCAUUGGGCUUAAAGGGUGCGUAGGCGGCUUGGUAGGUGGGGUGUGAAAUCCCUCGGCUCAACCGAGGAACUGCGCCCCAAACCCCUAAGCUAGAGGGAGACAGAGGUAAGCGGAACUGAUGGUGGAGCGGUGAAAUGCGUUGAUAUCAUCAGGAACACCAGUGGCGAAAGCGGCUUACUGGGUCUCUUCUGACGCUGAGGCACGAAAGCUAGGGUAGCGAACGGGAUUAGAAACCCCAGUAGUCC
Molecule: ribosomal RNA, 274 nt
Filed under: uncultured bacterium
Lineage: Bacteria
Description: partial 16S ribosomal RNA
Rfam family: Bacterial small subunit ribosomal RNA
Source: RNAcentral